This 450-nucleotide long non-coding RNA is filed under the name Chrysolophus pictus (golden pheasant). RNAcentral describes it as "lncRNA (ENSCPIG00010005023.1)". Lineage: Eukaryota; Metazoa; Chordata; Aves; Galliformes; Phasianidae. The record is from RNAcentral.
GAGGGGUUCGCUGCCCGGCCGAGGUGUGCGCGUGUUCAGGAGCUGCCGGGCGGCCACCGGGGCGAGGUGAGCUCCUGCUCCGACGAGGAGUGCUCGUGCUGGCGUGGGACGGGCGGCGGCGUACCGAAAUACCCGUCUGCCAGGAUCGCCGGAGGACGAGCGAAGGGAGGAGGGCGGCCGUGCUCAGGGAAUAUGUUUUAAGCUACUGAUGUCAAGAGUGGAUUUUUAUUAUCAAGAGAAACCAGGUGUUGUUUUCAAAGCAGCAACCAAUUCCUUGCGGACAGCAACGUUGCUGCGGACAGCGUGUUCCUAUUUUUAAGAACAUUCUGAGUCCUAAGAAUGCAUCUGCAAAAUGCCAGGCCCUGUAAGGAGUAACCCAGGGGAAGUGAAGAGCACCAUUAUUAGUGAUACAGAACAGUGAAAAACACAGAAUAAGGUACUGAAUAGCAG